GGGGUUGUUUGGUUUUGACAGCGAGGGAGUGGAGGUGUAAGCAUGCCGGGCGUUGUGAAAGUGGCCCGUUAAUCCCAAUUCUCACAGCCUUUAAAUGGCAAUGAUUACAAUUAUCAGUUAGCUGCUUAAUCUAGGUAUUAAAUAGCUACUUGUUCUCCGGGCAGCCUCGACCGACGGCGGCUCGAUAUAGGACAUCGCAAAUGUCGGAAUAGUUCUGUCUGCUCCCCGCAGGCAUUGCGAAACAACAGGGGAUAAGGAACAAGUAGGUCUGCUGACUGCCGGCUUGUUUCCGACAACUAAGUGACAGAUAAGCAUGUAGAAAGCAGUUUUGCUACUUGUUUGGACGCGGGUUCGAAUCCCGCCAGCUCCACAA
Molecule: transfer-messenger RNA, 373 nt
Filed under: Bacteroidales
Lineage: Bacteria; Pseudomonadati; Bacteroidota; Bacteroidia
Also listed under: 1 other name
Description: Cfx3-03 sp013390605 Standard tmRNA
Rfam family: transfer-messenger RNA
About the family: Bacterial tmRNA, also known as 10Sa RNA or SsrA, is named for its dual tRNA and mRNA-like properties. Its role is to liberate the mRNA from a stalled ribosome. To accomplish this part of the tmRNA is used as a reading frame that ends in a translation stop signal.
Source: RNAcentral